This 530-nucleotide ribosomal RNA is filed under the name uncultured Pezizomycotina. RNAcentral's name for it is "eukaryotic LSU rRNA". The stretch from base 211 to 364 matches the Rfam family "5.8S ribosomal RNA". The record is from RNAcentral. Lineage: Eukaryota; Fungi; Ascomycota.
AAGUCGUAACAAGGUCUCCGUUGGUGAACCAGCGGAGGGAUCAUUACAGAAGGUCUAGCGCCUGAAAACCAUUGUGAACCGUUCCAUUUGCUGCCUCGGCGGGCGAUCCCAGGGCGGGAUCGCGGCCCCCACGGGGGCGCCCGCCGGAGCGCGACACCUCCAGCUCUGUAUUCUCCAGCGGGCUUCUGAGUGAAGAAAAAAAACAAUCAAAACUUUCAACAACGGAUCUCUUGGCUCUGGCAUCGAUGAAGAACGCAGCGAAAUGCGAUAAGUAAUGUGAAUUGCAGAAUUCAGUGAAUCAUCGAAUCUUUGAACGCACAUUGCGCCCCUUGGUAUUCCGGGGGGCAUGCCUGUUCGAGCGUCAUUAUAACCCUCAAGCCUAGCUUGGUGUUGGAGCAUGCUACCUAGCAGCUCUUAAAAUCAGUGGCAGUGCCCUUCGGCUCUAAGCGUAGUAACUUCUCUCGCUAUGGAAACCGGGUGGUAUGCGCCAAAACCCCCAACUUUCUAAGGUUGACCUCGGAUCAGGUAGG